GAUUUUUUGUGUCAUCUUGAUGUGAUGUUUAUUUUUCCUUUAAAAAUAUUAAUAAACGCAUUCGAGGCUGACUGUUGGAGAUCUGCGCAAGUGCGCAUGCGCAGCGGCGUCAUUUUUAACCAAACAAGAGGACAGGGAAAAACUUAUGGGAGCAAGAGAUAACGUAAACACUUACUAAAUCGACAUUUAUUUCUCAAUUAUGGCCGUGUAACGUAAAGUGUCACUAGUUAACAGUUUUGUAUUUUUGUAAGUAAUUUUAAAAAUAAAUGUUCUGUUGCACAAAACUCCCUGAAGCAGUUUGAGUACCAUACCAUUUAUACAACCAUUUAUCCAAACCAAGUGAUACAGGAUCAAGCGAUUGGCCAUCACGAAAGUUUGCUUUAUGGCGACUGGCCUCUCUGUUGUCCUGGAUGUGAUGAAAUGCUGGGACUUCCUUUGUCUUUAUUGAAUUUUUUGUGAGCAGUAUCCAGCCGUACGGGCAGCACUAAGAGUCAGGUAUACGCACACGGACCCUUACUAGUACCUGAUUGGACCCCCUUUUGCCUUCCGGACUGCCUGAAUCCUU
Non-coding RNA from Danio rerio (zebrafish), 565 nucleotides. The record is from RefSeq and is a predicted model, not a curated record. Lineage: Eukaryota; Metazoa; Chordata; Actinopteri; Cypriniformes; Danionidae.